Molecule: long non-coding RNA, 6701 nt
Organism: Pongo pygmaeus (Bornean orangutan)
Lineage: Eukaryota; Metazoa; Chordata; Mammalia; Primates; Hominidae
Exons: 6
Source: RefSeq, a predicted model, not a curated record
ACAGAUGCUGCUGCUAUAGUACUUUCAGGCAAGGCCAAGGCUUCUUGAAACACUGGUCAUGCCCCAGUGAUCAAUGAAGAACUCAGGGAUAUCCCAAAACUCAGGACUAUAAGAAUGAACUACUUACUGAGGAAAAAAAAAAUCUAUGUGAUCUUGAGCCCGAGAGGUCUAAUGUAAUUAACAAGAGCUGCCUAUAAAUCUACCUCAGAAGACAAAGGGAAAAGCAAAACUCUGCCCAGGAAGACCUUACUUUACAAACCAGGAACAUUCCCUGAAAUCACAUUUUGGCAAAACUGUUGAAAAUUAAGAGCUUAACUGAAAACUGACAUCUGAAUGUUGCUCUCAGCUCUUUCCUAUCAGAAGAUUCCAUUCCUCGGAUGUUAUCAAAGUCACCCCCAAACUUCCCUCAUGGGUGGAAGCUUUAUUAGCUCGAGAGCAACAUAAGAUGCUGGGACUGUGCCUUCUUUAUCUUCUGUUGGCCACAGUACCUAAUACAGACCUUUAAACAUGGUGCUCGGUAAAGUGUCAGAUGAGUGGGAAGAAAGAAUGAAAUGGUAAGGAAGAGAAGCUGGAGAGAAAGGCAGAAGAAAGAAGUGGGCAGAUGAGAAGCAAGAAGAGAGGAGACUAUUAAGGCCUGGAAAGAUCAAGUUUGCAUUGAAGGAAAAAAAAAUGUAUGUACACAUGGCCACAGAAUGAUUUUUAAAUCUUAGGCAAUCAUCUUGAAAAUGACUGUUUUGUAUUUCCAGAAGUCAGGCAAGAAUGUGGAUUACAUCACAUAACCAUCACCCUCCUGGAGGAGGCUGGGAAACCUCAAAGCUCUUGAAGUUCUCUUCCUCUAAUUGCCAGUCCCCUUCCCACUGAAGCAUGUGUCCUAAUCCUUAGCCCCAAUUUGCAUUUCUUUUUUUUUUUAAUUAUACUUUAAGUUUUAGGGUACAUGUGCACAACGUGCAGGUUUGUUACAUAUGAAUGCAUGUGCCAUGUUGGUGUGCUGUACCCAUUAACUCGUCAUUUACAUUAGGUAUAUCUCCUAAUGCUAUCCCUCCCCCCUCCCCCCACCCCAUGCAUUUCUUUAUUUUGUCAACUGAAUGUUGAGGAGAGAAAGACCAGAGAAUGAUCUCAGAUAGCAUGUGUAGUAUAGAAGUGAGAUAUAAGGAUUCUGGAGAUAGAUGGGGCUGGAGUUCUAGCUCUUAGCUGUCUUCUAACCCUUACUUUGGGCAAGUUUCGUAACCCCUCUAAGCCUAAGUUUUAUAGCUGGGAAAAUGAGGUCAAUACUAAGUCCUACAUUGUAGAAUUUUUGAAAGGGUGAGUGAGCAACCCUGAACCAGCCUUCUGCUAUAACCACAUAGGCCCUUGUUUGUGACAUGUGGCACAGCCUAGUUGUCCCAUUUCCCACAAUGAGUUUCUUCCUGGAUGGGAGAGAUCUGAUCUUCUUUCCUAACUAACUUCAGCUAGGACUGCCUCAGUCCAUCAGAGAUGUUCUAACAACAUUAAACCUCAAAAGGGAAGAAAUUAAGAUCUCAAUCACUUUUAUUCCCAUAAGCUUCUUAGCACCUUGUGGAAAUACGCUUUCACUCUCCCCACCCUACACGCACCAACGAGCAACCUCAUAUACCAAGGGCAUAGAGGGGCUGCCUUUGUCUGGCCAAAUAAAAUCUUAUUCUGCUGCCAUAAUUCAUCUUUAUUUCAUGUACUUUCUUCACCUUUAUGCCAUAUUUUCCUAUAGCAUGGAUCGUAUUUGAUUCUUUCAUAUUCAGUCACACAUUCUUUUUGUUUGUUAAGCAUUUGUUUACAUGAGUAUUUUUAUAUUGCUACAUAAAUAGGCACGCCUGUUAAUAUACAUUCACAUUUCUGAAAAGAGCCAAAUAUUCUCCCCAGAAAAGGAUCUGAGUCAAGCUGAUCUGGUAUCUCCAGCACCAGAAACACACUUUUAAAUAGCAGUUAUUCUUUUUAUGAGUGUUCCCACAUUUCUUCUUAUUGGGCAACCAACCCCAUCAAAAUAAUAUCAUUUAUUAUGCUACUAUUAUGUCCUAAGCAUUUUUUUCAAGUGUUACUUUAUUUAUUCCUCAAAUAAUCUUAAUUUUAAUAGAUCAGCACCAUUAUUCCUAUUUUUCAAAUAAGGAAACUGAGGUGCAAUGGGGUAAUGUCAUUGGCAAAAUGUCACUCAGCUAGCAGACAAUGGAGCCAGGACUCAAAACAAAUCUAUAUGGAAAUGUCACAGGCAUUUGAACCAGAGCAACUCCAUCUUGAAUAGGAGCUCGGUAAAUUAAGACUAAGACCUAGGGGGCAGCCGCAUUCCCAGAUGGUUCGGCACUCUAAGUCACAGGAUGAGAUAGGAGGUUGGCACAAGUUACAGGUCAGAAGACCUUGCUAAUACAACAGUUGCAGUAAAGAAGCUGGCUAAAACCUACCAAAAUCAAGAUGGUGAUGAGAGUGACCUCUGGUCCUCCUCACAGCUACACUCCCACCAGCGCCAUCACAGUUUACAAAUGCCAUGGCAAAGUCUGGAAGUUACAGUAUAUGGCCUAAAAAGGGGAGGCAUGAAUAAUCCACUCCUUGUUUAGCAUAUCAUCAAGAAAUAACCAUAAAAAUGGGCACAGCAGCCCUCAGGGCUACCCUGUCUAUGGAGUAGCCAUUCUUUUAUUCCUCCACUUUCUUCAUAAACUUGCUUUCAGUUUACUCUAUAGACUCACCCUGAAUUCUUGCUUGCAUGAGAUCCAAGAACCCUCCUUGGGGUCUGGAUCAGGACCCUUUUUUGGUAACAAUUCUAUAACUCAUGGCUACAUCAUCUUAAUUUACAGAAUUCUCCAUAAAUGAAAUAUAAACCAAUGGCUUAAAACGUGUAUUAGUCCGUUCUCACACUACUAUAAAGAACUAGCUGAGACUGGGUAAUUUAUGAAGAAAAUAGGUUUAAUUGACUCACAGUUCCACAAGCUGUACAGGAAGCAUGGCUGAGAGGUCUCAGGAUACGUACAGUCAUGGUGGAAGGCAAAAGGAUAGCAAGCACGUCUUACAUGGUGAAGCAGGAGAGACAGAGAGUGAAGGGGGAAGUGCCAUGCACUUUUAAACCAUCAGAUCUCAUGAGAACUCACUAUCACAAGAACAGCAAGGGGGAAAUCUGCCCCCAUGAUAGAAUCACCUGCCAUCAGGCCCUUCCCCAACACUGGGGAUUACAAUUCAACAUGAGAUUUGGGUGGGGACACAGAGCCAAACAAUAUCAAAAGGCAACUAUGGCAGAAAGUUUUAGCCUAUGACUCAGAAACUCAGUAGCUGUUUGGUGGCAGAGAGGGUGUACAGCAAAAGCCCAAGGAGUGAGUUAUGUGUAGGGGACACACUCACCAAGGCCCACGGGCUGCAGGAGACACACAGCUGUUUGGCUUCCCGCAUUGUUAGAGCCCUUACUUGUUCUGUCACUGACAAGUCAGCCCAGUAUUAGGAAGACCCACAGAAUGGCAGCAUCCUUGAAAACUUUCCAUGAGACAUGGCAUGUUGUAGUAUGUGGUAAAUUUAGUCACAAGCUGAAAAAAUGUAUAAAAUACAAAUGUUAUCAAAAUGAUUUUAACUCAGAGGCUGUAACAUUUUAAAGGAAAAAUUUUAAAAGCAAAUGAUAAGUAAUAUAUAUAUGUACGUGUGUACGUGGAUAGAUAGUAUUUAUAUAGAUAUAAAUUAUACACUAUAAAUAUUUACAAACGAGGAAUAUACAUGUGUGUACAUAUAUGUACAGAUAUCCCCCCCAAAUUAAAAACCACCUGUCAAGAUUAGAUAAUCUAUCCAUGUUAGACAUGACAAAUGAUAGCAUUAGAAGCACUUGAACUUUGUACCACUUAUCUGGGCAGCUACAUCAGAGAACUUGUGAUCUCAUUAAGCCAGAGUUCUUGGGAGAAGGGCCUCAUGGCAGUCAGGAGACUCCUUGGUCCAGGCUACAAAUACUAGAGCAGUAGUGCUGUCUUGACAAGGAUGUUUAUCCAGGAAUCCAUCUGACAUUUGGUCAGAAGCUACUGAAUUCCUUUAGGGUACUCUGGAUAUGGACUCCUCUGCACCUGGAGAGUGUGAGCAGUAAUAACAGGUAGCUACAGUUGAAAAGAGCAUCCCCCAUAAUUCCACCUGGGCACUGCCCUUCCCUUGUUCCUGUUUACAAAACCGGACUUCCCAUUAACUUCAGCCCAGCUUCAUCCCCUGGCUCCUGUUUCUUGCCUUUGCUUUCUUUAAUGAGGCUUUAUGCUCAAGUCUGUAUCCAACCUUCAGUUCCAUGAACAAGCUCCAUCCCUGGAUCUUGGUUCUACCCUGGCCUUGCCUUUGUUCUCAGCUCUGCUCUAUACCCUCCUAGCAUCCCACCCUCUCCAAUAUGCCCACCUUUCACCAACCUCACAUCUCCCUUAUCCCUUCCCCAGGACUUGGGCUCAUGCCUGCCCACAUCUGAUGUGAGCUCCUAGCUCCUAUUCAACUGGAGCUGGCUCAGCUCCCCACCCAGCUAUGUGAAAGCCAGAGGGCUACCGAGUCUCAAGGUGAGGCCCCAGCAGAGCCAAGAAACCAUUCCUCUUCCAAAAUUCUUGCCAAAUACAUAAGAGAGUCCCAAUAGCCUUGCCAGAGUCAAAGAUAAUUCACAUCUCUAUGGCAAUCUCUCUAAAUCUCUGUUCUCCAUCCCACAUUGUAACACACCCAGAGAAAGGAAGUGUUUCCCUUGGAAACCAAGGCUGGCCAUGCACCCGCAAUCUUAAUCAUUAACCUUAAAAGCCAUGAUGUCUUCAAAUUUUUAACUGUACAGGUUCACAAUGAAUGGAGAGGCUAUGGCAUUAUACUUAAAUGUCAAAUAAAUGUGUCAUAUUUCUCUUACUGAGAACUAUUGAGGAUUCAAGUGAUAGAGUUGAUUAAAAUUUAUACCAGAAACAAAACUAGUUUCUGAAAACUUAGUUCUACUGGAAGUAAAAGUAUAAGCUUAAAAAAGAAAAAGAAAAAAGAAAAGAGGAAAGGAAGGGAGAAAGGAAGGGGGAAGAAAAAGAAAGUGACAGGUCUUGUAGCAGCAAAAACUACUAGGAAAGCUUGGAGAUUUUUUCCCCUCAUUAUACAAUUAAUACACGGAGAUUAAUAGAAAAUUUUGAAAAAAAAAGAAGCAAUUUUUAAAACUAUUCCACCACCAAAAUACAUCUGGAUUUUAUGUGUUUUCUUCAUCUUUAUGCUAUAUUUAUCUUAUAAUAUAAAUCAUAAGUAUUUCAUUUUAUUGUAUACUCAAAUGUAAAUUUAUUACUCGGCAAGCAUAUGAUGAUGUUACAUCAUCUUUAUAAUCAUUAUUUGAAUGGUUGCAUAAUAUUCCACAGAUUCCACAGACUGACCAAACUGUUUUACCUAGUUGUUACCAAUGUAUUACCUGGAUAAUAAAUUGGAUAUUUAGGUUGUUUCUAAUUCUUUCCUGUUUUUAAGUAACACUGCUGCUAGUAAUACCUUUACACAAUUUUUCAACAUUUAGAAUAUUGUUUUAGGCUAAGUGUCCAGAAGUGGAUUAAUAAGAAAGAGUAUAAACACUUUAAUGGUUCCUGAUCUAUGUUCCUAAAUAUCUUUCAGAAUGAAUUUUUACCAAUUUACACAAAAAGGUUUGAUUUUACUGGACUCAUCAAAAUUAAACAUUGGCAUUUUAAAAUUAUUUUUUAUCAAUUAACUCAUUUUUUACUUUAAUUUAGCUUUCUUUGAUUCUUAUGUAUAAAUGAAUUAAGGUAUGAAUUUUUUUCAUUCUCUAUACAAUUUAUAUAUAUAAUUUAAAUGCUGUUGUAGGCAGAGAGAAUACUAAAGGAAUUGCAGACACUUACCAAAGGAUUACUUCCCUAAAUGUUAAAUAGAUUUUACCAAAAGUUAAAAUUUGGAAUGCUCUUUUGAAAACCAGAAGAUCUGAAUCAGUUUUCUUGCUUCUGCAUUUAAUUUAGGAUCAUUUAAUAAAGUACUGGUUGAUCUUGAAAGUGUUAUAUUUGAUAUUUUUGGCAACAGAAGGAGAAAGAAUAAUAUAGUGGAAGCACCACCAUUGCAGAUUUGUAACAACGGGCUUGUCUUACAGGAGACUGGGUGAAGCCAUUUACAUCUCAUUACUCUGGUCUUAUAACUAAUAUUUAUAAGUUAUAUAAAAUAAAGUUAUAAGUUAUAUAAAAUAAAUGCUUUGAAGCAUUUAUUUUAUUGUAUCUUUUGCCUUCCUCCCCAUGCAUAAAAUGUUUACUUAUAUGGUUUCCUAAAAAAAAAAAAAAGACUUUAAAAAAUUAUUCUCCAGAAUCUCUGGGAUGCAUUCAAAGCAGUGUGUAGAGGGAAAUUUAUAGCACUAAAUGCCCACAAGAGAAAGCAGGAAAGAUCCAAAAUUGACACCCUAAUGUCACAAUUAAAAGAACUAGAAAAGCAAGAGCAAACACAUUCAAAAGCUAGCAGAAGGCAAGAAAUAACUAAAAUCAGAGCAGAACUGAAGGAAAUAGAGACACAAAAAACCCUUCAAAAAAUCAAUGAAUCCAGGAGCUGGUUUUUUGAAAGGAUCAACAAAAUUGAUAGACCGCUAGCAAGAUUAAUAAAGAAAAAAAGAGAGAAGAAUCAAAUAGAUGCAAUAAAAAAUGAUAAAGGGGAUAUCACCACCGAUCCCACAGAAAUACAAACUACCAUCAGAGAAUAUUACAAACACCUCUAUGCAAAUAAACUAGAAAAUCUAGAAGAAAUGGAUGAAUUCCUCAACACAUACA